Molecule: ribosomal RNA, 322 nt
Filed under: uncultured eukaryote
Lineage: Eukaryota
Description: partial 18S ribosomal RNA
Rfam family: Eukaryotic small subunit ribosomal RNA
Source: RNAcentral
CCCUUAGAUGUUCGGAGCUGCACGCGCGCUACACUGAUGCAUUCAACGAGUUUUUCCUGGUCCGAGAGGAAUGGGUAACCUUUUGAAAGUGCAUCGUGCUAGGGAUAGACUAUUGCAAUUAUUGGUCUUCAACGAGGAAUUCCUAGUAGACGUAGUUCAUCAGACUGCAUCGAUUACGUCCCUGCCCUUUGUACACACCGCCCGUCGCUCCUACCGAUUGGAUGAUCCGGUGAGCUAUUCGGACCUUCGCUUCGUCGAUUUUCGGCUUUGUGAGGGAAAGUCUCGCGAACCUUAUCAUCUAGAGGAAGGAGAAGUCGUAACA